Molecule: long non-coding RNA, 422 nt
Filed under: Pan troglodytes (chimpanzee)
Lineage: Eukaryota; Metazoa; Chordata; Mammalia; Primates; Hominidae
Description: long non-coding RNA NONPTRT000096
Source: RNAcentral
GGUGAGUUUCUUUUCCACCCUAUCUCCGCUAUGGAAAAAGUAGCUGCCCCUUUACCUGUGCCAAUUCUCCUAUUGUUGCUAGGACAUUAUUGAUCACACCUGGGUUUGGAUCAGGGUCUGGAUCUUUCAGUUUCAAAAUUAAUGCCUAGAGAAAGAAGUUAUGAGAAAAUGAAUGCAGAUUAGACUCUACUAGAAACCUUUCUUUUAGCUUUAUGAAUCCAAGAUUUCUCUGGAAUGUAAAUUCUCAAACUUUUCUCCAUAUGAAGUCUAAGUCUGACAUGUGAGAGAGCUGGGAAGCACCAUAAUGUGAAAGUAUUUCAUUCUUCCAAUCCCACUGUGCUCCAACUCUGUCAAAAUCUGUAGGGAAGAAAGGCUCAUAUGUUCUCUAUGGCAGAAGACAUUCUAGAGAGAGACUGUGUCCA